AAAAAGCCCUGGAUAUGAUGGUAUAAGCUCACAGGUAAUCAAAGCGAUUGCUCCAGAAAUUUCUGAACCACUUUCACACAUAUUUAACUUGACUUUUCUUUCUGGAACUAUUCCUGAUGAUCUAAAAAUAGCUCUAGUUACCCCUAUUUUCAAAGCAAACGAAAACAAUGAAUUUAAGAAUUAUCGGCCUAUAUCUGUUCUCACUUGUUUUUCUAAAUUAUUGGAAAAGCUUAUGUAUAAGAGGUUAAUUAGCCACAUAGAAAAAAAUAAAAUAUUAACACAAAAUCAGUAUGGUUUUAGGGAAAAUAGAUCUACUGAACUUGCAAUCAUUGAACUUGUUGACAAAAUCACCCAAGCAAUCGAUGAAGGAGAAUACACAAUAGGUAUCUUCCUCGACUUGUCAAAAGCCUUUGACACAAUUAAUCACAAGAUUCUGAUUCAAAAACUAGAACACUAUGGUAUACGUGGAAUAACAAGACAGUGGUUUGAAGAUUACUUAAAAAACAGAAAACAGAUUGUUAAAUAUAACCAAGUUAAAUCAAAAGCAAUGAUAAUUAAAAGUGGUGUCCCACAGGGAUCAAUUCUUGGACCAAUUUUAUUUCUUCUCUAUAUCAAUGAUAUUGAAAAUUGUAGCAAAUUAAUUUCAUUUAUAUUAUUUGCAGAUGACACUAAUAUAUUCUAUAGUAACAAGUGUCUAAAAACACUUAAUAAGAUUAUGCAAAUUGAAAUUGAUAAAGUUGCUGAAUGGUUAAAUGCGAAUAAGUUAUCUCUAAAUACUACAAAAACAAA
Molecule: non-coding RNA, 789 nt
Organism: Paramuricea clavata
Lineage: Eukaryota; Metazoa; Cnidaria; Anthozoa; Malacalcyonacea; Plexauridae
Source: the annotation of a GenBank genome assembly